CUGUCAAACUUUUUCAGUGACGUUUAUCAGAAAUUUCGUGCCUUUAUUUAGUAAAAAGUGUUGAUGCGAUUUUGCCUCAAACUUUCAGAAACACUUGGCAGCUGAAAUCCACAGUCCAACAAAUGUACGGUCCAAGUUUUGCACGGUCCCUUCGCCACGGAAACUUGCUUGAUUAAUCAAGCUGCCGGGAACGUCCCUUGACCGGGCCUACAACCAGAAUAUGGGAAGCUCGCCGAUCCGCGACCAAAACAUCACUCCACUCCAACUUUUCUACCCCUUCCGAUGGAAAGUCCUAAGUAUUUCCGGUAUUUCCGGUGUGUUUUCGAUUCGGCGACCAGUUCCGUGCUAGCAGCCGACAAUUUAUAGUGGAUAUCAAACCCACCGGAAGUGCCGUAAGCUGUACUGAAGGAAUGGCUCAACGGGUGCAUCCACUUUGGGCAGGUGAAGACGAAAAAGACUUGCGGAAGUGUCCUGGUCAACCUGAUUCCCAUCAUGCACAACUUGAAUGCUCCUCCAUCAACUUUUGGUCUAAGAACGCUCGAAAAUUCAAUCCGAAUCGGCGUACGUGGUUCCUUAGAGGUUGAAAAGGUUCUGCCUUACAUACAAUCGAGCGGGGAGAAUUUUCGCCAGGCGUUUCUGUUGAACAGCGACGCCUUCGGCAACAAGCGCUUUCCCCGGCAAACGUGACUUCCACCUGUCAGAGUGGUACGAUCCGAAUCAACGAAAUCACGUCACGGCUUGGCGAUGAGUCCAGCACGGCCCAAAACCUGCUGGCUCGGAUCACCCAGAACGCACUGCUGCGCAAAAAGCUGCAAGUCCAGCGCAAGGUGCUGUACGAGCAGGCCGUCGAACCGGCCGUCCAACAGUUUGUCCAGUCCUUCUGCCUCAACAUCCAUCGCAGUCUGUUGGUGCUGAGCAAAAUGGUCGCCGGAGCGAACCCACCAACUCAAUGUUCCCCGACGGAUCAACCGAGGCCGAGCUGUCCAUCUCGCUGCAGCAAACGCUGCAUCUCUCGCAACCCCAGGUACGUUACGCCGCCGGGCUGGCCGAGUUCGUUUCGGCCAUGGUUCCGUCACCUGGAACCUCAACUGAGCAGUGUUGAUUUGCUGAUUCGCAUUUGUUCCUUUUUUUUUUGCUUUUUCCGAGAAUUACCUUCUCGCAUCCUUUUUGUUCCGUCGCUAGAUCUGCGCUUUGAUCUGCGGGAAAGUAGUUUUUUUUAUUACUUUUCAAAGUUCUCACUUAUUUAUUUUCUCCCAAAACAUUAUUUUUUUGACAUUUUUUUCUUUUUACUGUGUUUCGUUCCCUCAGUAUAUUUUUAAAGGCUAAAAGUUUCCAUCAUUACUCAA
This is a long non-coding RNA of Culex quinquefasciatus (southern house mosquito), 1346 nucleotides long. RefSeq lists it as uncharacterized. Lineage: Eukaryota; Metazoa; Arthropoda; Insecta; Diptera; Culicidae. The transcript is spliced from 3 exons. The record is from RefSeq and is a predicted model, not a curated record.